This 279-nucleotide ribosomal RNA is filed under the name uncultured bacterium. RNAcentral's name for it is "partial 16S ribosomal RNA". It matches the Rfam family "Bacterial small subunit ribosomal RNA", at positions 506 to 784 of the family's 1533-position model. The record is from RNAcentral.
UGCCAGCCGCCGCGGUAAUACGGAGGGUGCGAGCAUUAAUCGGAUUUAUUGGGCGUAAAGUGCGUGCAGACGGAGAUGCAAGUCUGAUGUGAAAUCCCGGAGCUCAACUCCGGAACUGCAUUGGAAACUACAUCCCUAGAGGAUAGAUGGAGAAGGCGGAAUUCCACGUGUAGCGGUGAAAUGCGUAGAUAUGUGGAAGAACACCUGUGGCGUAAGCGGCCUUCUAAUUUAUUCCUGACGUUAAAGCGCGAAAGCGUGGGGAGCAAACUGGAUUAGAUA